This is a long non-coding RNA of Prinia subflava (tawny-flanked prinia), 424 nucleotides long. RefSeq lists it as uncharacterized. Lineage: Eukaryota; Metazoa; Chordata; Aves; Passeriformes; Cisticolidae. The transcript has 3 exons. The record is from RefSeq and is a predicted model, not a curated record.
GCUGCCCGCAGCCCCAGCCGGCUCAGUGAGCACACGGAGCAGGGGGUGGGAGCCUGCACACCCUGCUUUGACUGAGCUCGGCAGUGGAUGCAGCACAGAAUGGGAGCACAGACCCUGGUGGGCCUGGAACUGCAGCUGGAGUGGUGACACCUCAGCCAGAAAACAGUGGAGAGAAGCUGAAGGUUGAUUUCCCAGCCCCCGAGACUUGAGCUGUGCUUACACCUGAACAGCUUUGAGGCAGUGAGCCAUGGCUUCCAUCUAGGCUGAUGAAGAAAGAUGUUUCUGGCAAGGCUUUCCAUAGUCCCUGGGAUCCUGCUGACCCCUGGCACCAGGCCUGGCUUCUGCAGUCUCUGUCAGCCUGAGUCUCAGAAACCACAGAUCAGAGAGGCUGGAACUGUCCCUGCAGUUGAAAGGCUGUUUGCUA